RNAcentral lists this ribosomal RNA (491 nucleotides) under uncultured bacterium. RNAcentral's name for it is "partial 16S ribosomal RNA". It matches the Rfam family "Bacterial small subunit ribosomal RNA", at positions 29 to 507 of the family's 1533-position model. The record is from RNAcentral.
AGUGAACGCUGGCGGUAGGCCUAACACAUGCAAGUCGAACGGCAGCACAGUAAGAGCUUGCUCUUACGGGUGGCGAGUGGCGGACGGGUGAGGAAUACAUCGGAAUCUACUUUUUCGUGGGGGAUAACGUAGGGAAACUUACGCUAAUACCGCAUACGACCUACGGGUGAAAGCAGGGGAUCUUCGGACCUUGCGCGAUUGAAUGAGCCGAUGUCGGAUUAGCUAGUUGGCGGGGUAAGGCCCACCAAGGCGACGAUCCGUAGCUGGUCUGAGAGGAUGAUCAGCCACACUGGAACUGAGACACGGUCCAGACUCCUACGGGAGGCAGCAGUGGGGAAUAUUGGACAAUGGGCGCAAGCCUGAUCCAGCCAUACCGCGUGGGUGAAGAAGGCCUUCGGGUUGUAAAGCCCUUUUGUUGGGAAAGAAAAGCAGCAGGUUAAUACCCCGCUGUUCUGACGGUACCCAAAGAAUAAGCGCCGGCUAACUUCGUG